CUGAACGUUGACACGAGUUGUUGCUGGCCCCUCGAAGGGGGGGCAUGUGCACGCUCUGUUUACAUAUCCACUCACACCUGUGCACUCUCUGUAGUUCUGUGGCCUGAGAGACCCCGUCCCUCUGCUGCGGUUCUACGUCUUUAUACACACCCUGUAGUGAAGUCUUAUGGAAUGUGUGCCGCGUUUAACGCAAUAAAUA
RNAcentral lists this unclassified non-coding RNA (199 nucleotides) under uncultured fungus. Its description in RNAcentral is "sequence contains ITS1, 5.8S rRNA gene". RNAcentral also lists the same sequence under 1 other name. Lineage: Eukaryota; Fungi. The record is from RNAcentral.